UACGGAGGGUGCGAGCGUUGUCCGGAAUCAUUGGGCGUAAAGGGCGCGUAGGCGGCCAUGCGUGUCUUCCGUGAAAUCCCGCGGCUUAACUGAGGACGUGCGGAAGAAACUGCAAGGCUUGAGUCCGGGAGAGGGGGGUGGAAUUCCCAGUGUAGCGGUGAAAUGCGUAGAUAUUGGGAGGAACACCGGUGGCGAAGGCGGCCCCCUGGACCGGUACUGACGCUGAGGCGCGAAAGCGUGGGUAGCAAACGGG
This 253-nucleotide ribosomal RNA is filed under the name uncultured bacterium. RNAcentral describes it as "partial 16S ribosomal RNA". It matches the Rfam family "Bacterial small subunit ribosomal RNA", at positions 524 to 776 of the family's 1533-position model. The record is from RNAcentral.